RNAcentral lists this transfer RNA (65 nucleotides) under Macoma balthica. RNAcentral describes it as "Limecola balthica tRNA-Lys". It matches the Rfam family "tRNA". Rfam says of the family: Transfer RNA (tRNA) molecules are approximately 80 nucleotides in length. Their secondary structure includes four short double-helical elements and three loops (D, anti-codon, and T loops). Lineage: Eukaryota; Metazoa; Mollusca; Bivalvia; Cardiida; Tellinidae. The record is from RNAcentral.
GCCUCAAUAGCUAAAUUAAGCGUGAGACUCUUAAUCUUGAGAUACAGGCUUUUCUGUUUGGGGCU